This 85-nucleotide transfer RNA is filed under the name Felis catus (domestic cat). It matches the Rfam family "tRNA". Rfam says of the family: Transfer RNA (tRNA) molecules are approximately 80 nucleotides in length. Lineage: Eukaryota; Metazoa; Chordata; Mammalia; Carnivora; Felidae. The record is from Rfam by way of RNAcentral.
GCCUGGGUGGCUCAGUCAGUUAAGCGUCCGACUUCGGCUCGGGUCAUGAUCUCACAGUUCAUGGGUUCAAGCCCCACAUCAGGCU